This 74-nucleotide transfer RNA is filed under the name Erinaceus europaeus (western European hedgehog). It matches the Rfam family "tRNA". Rfam says of the family: Transfer RNA (tRNA) molecules are approximately 80 nucleotides in length. Their secondary structure includes four short double-helical elements and three loops (D, anti-codon, and T loops). The record is from Rfam by way of RNAcentral. Lineage: Eukaryota; Metazoa; Chordata; Mammalia; Eulipotyphla; Erinaceidae.
AGGAGUGUAGCUCUGUAUUAUAUAGCACAGGUCUUGCAGGUUUGAAGCCCUGGGUUCGAGUCCCAGUACACCCA